GUGAGGUGAUUCAGACCGCUUCUUCCAUCCCGCCCCCUUCCCUGUCACUGACACACACUCUCCACUCAGAACACGAACGGCCCAUCCCUGCACUCACCUGCCGCUCAUUCACACACUCUCUCAGUUGCCUCCUGCAGUAACAACGGUCGCAGAAAUUGAAACGCAACACACUUCCGGUUCCGCCCUCUCUCCGCUGCACGGUCUGCAGGAUUCCCGGAGGCGCGACCUGCCACGCAUGCUCAGCAGAGGCUUUGGGCUUGGAGGAUGCCUGCUGCCAUGAGUUUAGUAGCUUUCAUCUCUCACAAGUCUUCCACCAUCAGCCAUAGCUCUGCUACAGCCCCAGAGGUAUUUAUUUAUUCCCUUUCCUAAGAAUGUUAUCCAUGCCGUGGGAGGAAGUGAAUGUGUACAGCAACUUUCGCCAUGGAUGUGUUUGAAGAUUUGCACACACAGAAGCCUGCAGUUCAGGAAGGGACGCCGAGUGGGUGGUUUGGUGGGAGCCCAGAAGACCCCAGUGCUGACAGCAACGUGGAGACCUCCAGGAGACGGAAGCAGGCACUGAACAUCAGUAAAGUAUCAAAAGCUGCACUGGCAACUCUGAUUUUCCUUUUUGAAAAUCUGUCCUCACAUAGGAUUGAAAACACAGAAGAAAUGGACAGAUUCCUAGAGACGUAAAAGACAUAAAAGAAGACAUAAAAAUUUUGAGAAAACCAAUAUCAGUUAAUGAAACUGAAAAUGUAAUUUAAAAGGUACCAACAAAGAAAAGCCCAAGUCCUCAUGGAUUCACAACUGAAUUACAUUAGAAAUUUGAGAAGAAUUAAUGGCAAUACUCCUCAAACUUUUUAAUGAAAAUUGAAAGGGAAGCAAUUCUCCCCAACUCAUUCUUGGAGGCAAGUAUUACUCUGAUACCAAAGCAAGGGAAAGACCCAACCAAAAAAGAGAAAUACAGGCCAGUCUCCCUAAUAAACACAGAUGCAAAAAUCCUUGAUAGAAUACAGGUUACAGCAAAUCAUCAAGAAGAUUAUAUGCCAUGACCAAGUGGGAUGCAUCCCAGGAAUGCAGAGAUGGUUCAACAUAUACAAAUCAACAAACAUAAUACACUGUAUCAACAGAGCCAAAGAUAAGAAUCACAUGAUCAUCUCAAUAGAUCCAGAAAAAAUUUUGAUAAAGUCAAACACUCAUUCAUGAUUAAAAAAAAACCCUAAGAAAAUUGGAAUACAUGGUGUUUAUCUAAAUCUGAUAAAACCCAUCUAUGACAAACCAGCAGUCAGUAUCAUACUAAAUGGACAAAACCUGAAACAUUUCUCUCUAAAAUCAUGAACAAGACAAGGAUGUCUACUGAGCACUGUUAUUAAAUAUAGUUCUGGAAACUUUAUCCAGAGCAACUAGACAAGAGAAAUAAAGAAAAUGAACAACAGGAAAGGAAGAAGUUAAAUUAUCAUUAUUUGCAGAUGACAUGAUGCUCUACCCAGAAGACUCUAAAACCUCCACCAAAAUACUUCUAGAAUUAAUAACCAAAGACAGAUGCAUAACUGGAUACAAAAUCAACACUCAAAAAUCAAUAGUAUUCCUGUACACAAACAAUAAAUUCACUUUGAGAGAAAUUAGGGAAACCACACCAUUCAUAAGAGCAUCUGAAAAAAUUAAAUACUUAGGAAUAAGCCUAACAAAGGAAAUAAAAGGGCUAUACAUUUAAAAUAACAGCACUCUGAAAAAAGAAAUCAAAGAGAAUAUCAGAAAAUGUAAAGACAUGCCUUGUUUUUAGAUCGGAAGAGCCAAUAUUGUGAAAAUGGCCAUACUCCAAAAACUGUUACACAGAUUCAGUGUAAUCUCAAUCAAAGUACUAUCAGCAUAUCUUACAGAUCUAGAGAAAAUAUUCCUUAGGUUCAUUUGGAAGUAAAAGAGACCUAGAAUAGCAACAAAGGCAAAGCAGGAAGCAUCACAGUCCCUGACUUGAAGUUAUACUAUAAAGCUACUGUAAUAAAAUCAGCAUGGUCCUGGAAAAAAACCCAGACCUGAGGAUCAGAACAGAAGAGAGGAUGUAGACACAACUACAAACAUACUCAUCUACCUUAUCUUUGACAAAGGAGUCAAACAUGUUCACUAGAAGAAAGAUAGCCUCUUUAAUAAAUGGUUGGGGAAAACUGGCUUUCCAUAUGCCAAAGACUUGAACUAGACCCAUGUCUAUCACCAUGCACUAAAGUCAAAAUGGAUCAAUGAUCUAAAUAUUAAAACAGAAACCAUCUACUGGAAGCGAAAAUAGGUAGAAAUCUGGAAGAUGGAGGAGUAGGCAGACAAUUCAUAGAGAAAAAUCAAACUGCCUGGGAAGUACUUGAAAGAAUCAACAACUGGGAUCUCACCUUAUUAAAAAGUUUUUGUGCUUAAAAAGAAAUCAUUAUCAGAAUGAAAAGAAAACCCAUGUAUUGGGAAAAAAAUUUAGCCAACUGUCCCUCAAAGGAUUUAUAUCUAGAAUAUAUAAAGAAUUGAAAAAAUUCAGGUCCCCCAUAUUCAAAGACUCAAUUCAAAAAUGAGUAUGUCAGAUGAAAACACACUUCUCAGAGUAACAAAUACAAAGGGCAAAUAAAUGUAUGAAACAAUGUUCAGCAUUACUGGUCAUUUGGGAGGCGCAAUUUAAAACAAUCUCAACCCAGAAAGAAUGGCCAUCAUCAAGAAAUCAAGCAAUAACAAAUCCUGGAGGAACUGGGGGAAAAGAACCCUUCUCCACUGUUGGUGGGAGUGUAGAUUGGUGUAACCACUGUGGAAAUCAGUGUGUAGAUUUCUCAAAAAACUAGGAUUUGAGGUCCCAUUUGACCCAGCUAUUCCCCUUCUGGGUAUUUUCCCAGAAGAACUGAAAACAUCAUACCACAGCGAUAUAUGUGUACCCAUGUCUACAGCAGCACAAUUUGUAGUAGCUAAAUCUUGGAAACAACACAAACUCCCAUCAACUAAGAAAUGGAUUAAAAAAAGAUGUCAUAUUUUUAUAUAAUGGAGUACUACUCUGCUAUAAAGAAGGAUAAAUUCAAGGCUUUUAUAAAUGAAUGAGUGUAACUAUAGACCAUACUCAUAAGUGAAAUACAUCAAAUUUGCAUGUGUAAACAACAUAAUAUUUUCCUAGUGUAAGGAACUGAAAAAGUAAGGAAGAUCCAAAAUCUGCAAUAGAUAUUGUGAAGGAGAAACAAACUGCUCAAAAGGAAAGAACAUCCAGGAUGGGUCAAAAGAGAAAAGAAGGAAGGAAAAAGAAAUAUAUAUAUAUACACACAAAAGAUAGCUAAGUUAGUUAUAUUACUGAUUUAUUUUAGUUCAUUAAAAAAUGAUUUGUGCUUAUAUUGUUUGAUCAAUUAUGCAUGCCUAUAUCUUGUAGUCUGAGCAACUACUUAGAAGCUAACUAUAUGCAAUGUAUUAAUCAUUGUUAAUUUCCUAUUAUCUUGUUUUGAAAUUUAGCAUUUUGUUUCCUCCCUUUAAAAUAAAAAAUACUUAAAUAAAA
Long non-coding RNA from Cavia porcellus (domestic guinea pig), 3481 nucleotides. RefSeq lists it as uncharacterized. The record is from RefSeq and is a predicted model, not a curated record. The transcript has 4 exons. NCBI's taxonomy places the organism in Eukaryota, Metazoa, Chordata, Mammalia, Rodentia, Caviidae.